Molecule: ribosomal RNA, 923 nt
Filed under: Escherichia sp.
Lineage: Bacteria; Pseudomonadati; Pseudomonadota; Gammaproteobacteria; Enterobacterales; Enterobacteriaceae
Description: bacterial SSU rRNA
Rfam family: Bacterial small subunit ribosomal RNA
Source: RNAcentral
GUGGGGCAGCCCUACACAUGCAGUCGAACGGUAACAGGAAGCAGCUUGCUGCUUCGCUGACGAGUGGCGGACGGGUGAGUAAUGUCUGGGAAACUGCCUGAUGGAGGGGGAUAACUACUGGAAACGGUAGCUAAUACCGCAUAACGUCGCAAGACCAAAGAGGGGGACCUUCGGGCCUCUUGCCAUCGGAUGUGCCCAGAUGGGAUUAGCUAGUAGGUGGGGUAACGGCUCACCUAGGCGACGAUCCCUAGCUGGUCUGAGAGGAUGACCAGCCACACUGGAACUGAGACACGGUCCAGACUCCUACGGGAGGCAGCAGUGGGGAAUAUUGCACAAUGGGCGCAAGCCUGAUGCAGCCAUGCCGCGUGUAUGAAGAAGGCCUUCGGGUUGUAAAGUACUUUCAGCGGGGAGGAAGGGAGUAAAGUUAAUACCUUUGCUCAUUGACGUUACCCGCAGAAGAAGCACCGGCUAACUCCGUGCCAGCAGCCGCGGUAAUACGGAGGGUGCAAGCGUUAAUCGGAAUUACUGGGCGUAAAGCGCACGCAGGCGGUUUGUUAAGUCAGAUGUGAAAUCCCCGGGCUCAACCUGGGAACUGCAUCUGAUACUGGCAAGCUUGAGUCUCGUAGAGGGGGGUAGAAUUCCAGGUGUAGCGGUGAAAUGCGUAGAGAUCUGGAGGAAUACCGGUGGCGAAGGCGGCCCCCUGGACGAAGACUGACGCUCAGGUGCGAAAGCGUGGGGAGCAAACAGGAUUAUAUACCCCUGUAGUCCACGCCGUAAACGAUGUCGACUUGGAGGUUGUGCCCUUGAGGCGUGGCUUCCGGAGCUAACGCGUUAAGUCGACCGCCCUGGGGAGUACGGCCGCAAGGUUAAACUCAAUGAAUUUGCCGGCAGCCCGCCCAAGUGGUGGAAACUGGUGGUUUAAU